Molecule: unclassified non-coding RNA, 617 nt
Filed under: Leguminivora glycinivorella
Lineage: Eukaryota; Metazoa; Arthropoda; Insecta; Lepidoptera; Tortricidae
Description: uncharacterized LOC125233602, transcript variant X2
Source: RNAcentral
GUCAACAGUAUCGUAUCUUAUAUUUUAGCUUUCUUAGCAGUUUUCAUAUGUUUUUCUUUUGAAAAGAAAAUUCAAAAUUAUAAGGUACAAUGAGUGAUCAAACAAUUCUUACUGCUACAUCUUAUUUCCAAAAAGAGCUUGAUGUAAAUAGAAAACUCUUAGUAAAAUUUGAUUCGGAAUUGGAACAGUGCAGAAAGCAGUUAACUGCAGUUAAGGUACAAGUGUCAAUACUCCAGCUUCAGAAUAAAGUGAUGCAGACUACUUUCCACCGGUUACUGGAUUUAAGGAGAGUGCUAAAAGAAAAAAGUCACAGUUGUUGAAAUCCUGCGAGCCGCGAGGAGUAAACAGAAAAGACUCUUGCGGUGGCGACCCCAACGCGGAACCCGGCUGUGGCUGGAACUGCGGCCGAAAAUGCGCAGACGUUAAAGUCAAAGUAUACUGUCCGAGGAUCUACUGCCCUACAACGUGCCAAUGCAAACCCGGCUUCUACUAUAACGACCAAACUUCAAGCUGUGUGGCUCCUCAGGAUUGCCCUCCAAAUUCAAACGAAUAAAUAAGUUAGUCCAAAAUAUAAAACCGAGUUAUUUGAUUAACUGUCACUCAUAAAUACAUAAAUU